GAUGAUCCUCCCUGAGAAGGUGAAAUGAGAGAAAGACUUAAAGGAGGUGAGGGAGUUUGCUAAGUGGAUAUCCAAGAAGAAUAUCCCAGGUAGAGGGAACAGAAAGAGCAAAGGCUUUCAGGUGUAAGUGAUAAUGGGGAGAUGGAAGGUAAAGGGCCUUGGUGAGGAUUCUGGGAAAUGUUGGAGGGAUGUGAGUAGAGGAAAGCCAUGAUCUGGCUUUUUCCUAGGAAACCCUCAUCCCAGCUGCUGUGUUGAGAGCAGACCUCAGAGGAGCAAGUGAGAAGCCCUCUCAGCAGGUCAUUGCAACAAACCAGCUAUCCAGUUCAUAGUCGUGAGUGCCUCUGGUUGUGCUGUGUGGGAUGCCACCUCAGCACGGCUUGAUGAGUGGUGCCAUGUUGCACCCAGGAUCCGAACUGGCGAAACCCUGGGCCGCUGAAACGGAGUGCGUGAACUUAACCACUCGUCCAGGGGGCCGGCCCCAGAGAUACCUGUGAAGUUUCACUUGUUCAAGGGACCUGAAGAGUAGAUGGAUGCACACUGGGAACACACACUUGAUACAUGAGAAACCAGGGACUGACUGCCAACUCUUGGAAGAGAUGUUGGAAUAACCUGUGGAUGAAGCAUGCAUUGCUUGCUGUGGUUGGGGAGAUCACGACAUUGCCAGUUCUAGUAACAUCACAGAGAGGGAAGCAGUGUGUCAAAGUAUGCUGCAGGUCUGAUUCCCACAGCCAGGUGAGGUUUGGAAGUGAGCCUUGAAGAGGAAGCAGUGGUUUGAUGACCUGGUUGAGCGUUCUGAGAAAGACCUGUUCGCCCUGAUGUGGGCUGGUCAAGUAGUCUAUUGUUCCGAUAAAUGGAUUCUCAGAAAGUUCCUGGAACAAACAACAGAAUUAUUGGAAUCUUCAUCUUCCUGGACAACAAGUUUCUGAAACAGCAAAGUCAUGUUGGUGCCAAGUGUGGGAGGAUUGAGUCACGCGAGUGGAAACCGUAAGCUGUGUUGUGCUGGACAGUGUCUGAUCUCUGGGGUCAAUAAAACCUCUGCUCUCACUGUGUGAACUGGAAACUUCUGCGACUUCUCUGGAUGUUCCCUGUUCACUGGUACAAUAAGGGUAAAGAUAGUUCCUUUGGCAAAGUAGUGUUGUUGUGAAGACUGGAGGAGAUAAAGCCCAGGAUGUGCUUACACAAUGCUGGGUAUACAGGAAGUGCUCGAUAAAUGGGAAUCACUUUCAGAUUCCAACUGCCAGAGAAUCAGGUGACUUGGCGGCAGUUCUGAGGUGUGAGAUGCUGGUUAAUCCAGCUGCUAGAGUGAGAAGGGAAGAAAAUACAGCAGUCCUACAUGGAACAGAAACUCUGGCAUCAGCAAUUGGGUUUUAAUGGCAUGAGACUGAUAAGCUGAUAAGCUGAAAAGGUGAAAAUGAAAAUUAAGCGCUGAUAGCUCCACAGAAAGAGACAUUUAGGGUAACAAACUGAUUUUGCAAAGCCUGACUCAGAGAUUUUCUGCAGCAGAACAUCUAAUAACUACUUGCUUUAGAGAAAGAAUACAGCCCUGCUGACCCGUUUUGGAUGUGUCACGGCUGGAACUGUAAGCAGCGCAGCCCUGUCUUCAAACUGGAAGGAAGCCCAAUGUACAAAAUCCACACACCUGGGCUCUUUGGCUCAAGUAAGAGCAGCAGGAGCCCCUCACGUCCCAGAGCCGCUCAAGAAGCCCCCAGGAGCACGGCAUACUUCGGAGAAGCUGUGGGUUCGGUUCCAGACCACAAUAAAGCAAAUAUUGCAAUAAAGUGAGUCACACAAAUUUCUUGGUUUCCCAGUGCAUGUAAAAGCCGUGUUUACGUUACACUGUAGUCUAUUAAGUGUGCAAUAACAUUACAUCUAAAAAAACAAUGCGGAC
RNAcentral lists this long non-coding RNA (1888 nucleotides) under Equus caballus (horse). RNAcentral's name for it is "lncRNA (ENSECAG00000045081.1)". The record is from RNAcentral. Lineage: Eukaryota; Metazoa; Chordata; Mammalia; Perissodactyla; Equidae.